This 301-nucleotide ribosomal RNA is filed under the name uncultured bacterium. Its description in RNAcentral is "partial 16S ribosomal RNA". It matches the Rfam family "Bacterial small subunit ribosomal RNA", at positions 509 to 807 of the family's 1533-position model. The record is from RNAcentral.
CAGUCGCCGCGGUAAUACGAAGGGGGCUAGCGUUGUUCGGAAUUACUGGGCGUAAAGGGCGCGUAGGCGGCCAUUCAAGUUAGAUGUGAAAGCCCUGGGCUCAACCUAGGAAUUGCAUUUGAUACUGUUUGGCUUGAGUUCGGGAGAGGUGAGUGGAAUUCCCAGUGUAGAGGUGAAAUUCGUAGAUAUUGGGAAGAACACCAGUGGCGAAGGCGGCUCACUGGACCGACACUGACGCUGAGGCGCGAAAGCGUGGGGAGCAAACAGGAUUAGAUACCCCGGUAGUCCCUGUCUCUUAUAC